CCCCUGGUGGUCUAAUGGUUCGGAUUUGGCACUUCCACUGCUACGGCCUGGGUUCAACCCUUGGCUGGGGGA
Molecule: transfer RNA, 72 nt
Organism: Ovis aries (sheep)
Lineage: Eukaryota; Metazoa; Chordata; Mammalia; Artiodactyla; Bovidae
Rfam family: tRNA
About the family: Transfer RNA (tRNA) molecules are approximately 80 nucleotides in length.
Source: Rfam